CGACUCGCAUCUGGAAAAUUUACCUUACAGCUCGCUACCGAGCUCUUCUUACAGCAACUUACCUAAAGGGGAAAAAAAGAAUCAGACGUGACCCUGCGUGUUGCUGCCCUGCAAGAGUGAGCGUGCAAAUGUGCCUUUGUACGCUUAGGGUUAGUUCGAGUCACGGUAACAGCGGAAAGGGAGAGAUAUGGGCUUAUGCGGAGGCUCUGUGGGCUCUAGCGGGGGAAGAACUGGUUAAAUCAAUGUUAGGUCAUGCUGAAGGGCGUGUUUCCCCAUGGUCGUGGCCAUCUGUACCCAGCGUGGCAAGAGUGGGAAGGAGAAAUGUGAUGUGCCAGUUGAUUGGGUUGUCUGGAGGCAUGGAGAAGGUUGGACAUGUGCUCAUCAGGCAAGGCAAGAAGCACCAAACACAAGAUGUUUGUUACCUGGGCUCUAAGGACAUCCAAGGGAAAGACAGCAGAGAAGCGUGGUUGGUGGCAGUGCGGUGUGUUGAGGUCCUUGAACCAGCACUUGGAGGUGGAAAGAUCUCCGAGGAGGACGCUGUAGGAGGGAGCAGUGCUGCUUUUAGCUCAACAAGGCGCUUGGAAAACGUCGCUGGAUGUCGCUGCGCUCGUGGCUCCGCAAAUCUGCUGCCUGGCAUAGCUGCUCGCACGUCACCGAGCCUUGGCUGCAGAGAUGUCCUCAACUGAGCAGGAGAAGAGCCAUCCAGGUAUGGUGGCGGCAAGCUGAAGCCAUAAAAUGGCUAUUAGAUUAGCGCUUUUUACACGAGAGGGUUUUAACUGUUGAAAUAGAUGUCCGAAGGAUCUGGUGCGUUAUUUUUUUUCUCAGCUUUAUCUCAAGCUUAUAUCCAUCGUGCGGUGGCAGAUUCCUCCUCAGCCCUGGGUUAUGGGACUUGAUGGAGGAAUUUGUGGGUGAAAAGCACAACCUGCUUUAACGCAGGAGGCCAGGCUGGGUGUUCCUAAUGAUUUCUUCCUGCUUUCCAAGCUCCUGAUUAAAUCUGUGUCGUUUCCCACAAGUUGGGAGCCGAGCCCAGAGGGUGAAAUUCCAUACGAUUCACCGAUUAAUUCCACCGUCAUUCCUGCACGCCCGGGGUCUUAAUUGGUGCAGAAAGGGGAAUCUUUCCUUUCCCAAAUACCUUCAAGACAGUAGGCCCAGCUUUCCCAUCAAACCUGCUCCUACAACGCAACAGCGCUGUGACUGCUCUUCCCAGCUCGAGUGGAGUUGCUACCGUUUCUCCCGAUGAUAUACGAGGGUGUCAUGACUUGUUAUGUCACGUCAGCCGGUGCGGUGGGGUAAUAAGAGCUGAUGGGAUGCGGCAGCAGUCAUUUUGAAAUGGAAGGAAAAAAAAAGGGUUCUCUGUGCACCGAAGAGCACAUCUGGUUUGUGGCAUAAUUCAAAUUAACUUGGGGGAAUUCACUACAUCUCGGGUGUCUUCCAUGGUGACAUGCAACAUAGAAAUGCAAUCCUGGAAAGCUUUUAUGAAAGCUCAGCAGCCAGAGCGGUUUUAAAUUGCUUUUUUUUUUUUUAUUUAUUUAAAAAAAGAAAAAAAACCAACCUGAUGGCAAUUUCCUACUCUUGACUGAUUCUACCUAAUUUGCGCUUGCCCUGAUUGCAGUUUUAUAAACAGGAAUUCCAGGGCUACGUAUCUCUCCCCCAAGGCGGGGGAUGUUUAGCUUUUCACCUUUCUCUGGACGAAAUGCGAAUCGCCUGCGUUAAACCUCUCUGCGUAGGGUGAUGCUGGGAGAACAGAGAGCGGCCGUGCCUGCCGCCGCCCGGCUCAGGCGGGAACCCGCCGGUCCCCUUUGCAGGGACCCCCAGGAAAAUCCCAUCUAUUAACUCCCCGUGCCCUGCUCGCACCCAGGGGAAAGCGAUUCGGGGGUCGAUGAGCACGAAUGGACCUCGGGACCUUCCGGAGGGAAGCGAGCGUGCUGCGGUGCAAAUUGAACUGCACCAUCCAGCAGCCAGGCAAGAGGCAUCUCCUGGGGAAUUAAAACUUUAAUCCCUAAGGACACAGCAGAGAGAUUAUUUCCAGGGCGAGGAAGCAUGAAGCGGCGGCCGUUUAGGCUGCAGUGGUAUCUUCAAGCCUGGUCCAGGUGAUGGCCCAUGCUCGCAAAGCUCACCGCCUUCCUCUCGGAGACGAAGAUGGAUGGAAUAAGGGUGCAGUGGAUGGCUAAUGGAGAGGGUUUCGCCCUCUGAAAGGACGUCCUGGUGCUAGCCAAAUGCGCGGUUCCCUUAGCCGUCAGCAGGCCCGUUGCUAUUGGGAGCCAAAAUCAUCCCCUAUGCUGAUAAAGAGCUCUCCAAGUACUUAUUUUUUUUCCCCCCUUAACCUUAACUGAAAUGUAUCUCUUUUCCCUCAAAUCUGGAAUAGAAGUUUUGAGCCUCUCUGAGCUUUGUAGAGGUUGCAAAAUCCAACCAGUCCUCCCUGCGGGAAGAUCUGGCAAAGAGGAAUCCUCACGGCUUGAUUGGGGGGCACUCCGCUCGGAGCGGGUCCCCGCCAUGGGAUGUUCACUACAGGCAGCUGCAGAAAAUGGCCCUGCCUCUGGUCUUGUGGGGCUCAGAUUGGACCAUAACUCUGGGGAGAUGGAUUCUCUGCCAUGGGCCAGCUGGAUGAGCAGAAACGGUCAUGUCACCUCCUGUGCCUCGGUUUCCCCAGUUGUUGAAAUGGCAGCAAUGAUGUUCUUUCUUACGUGGCACUUCAAGACUCCUGAAGGAAAGGCUGGGAGCUUAGCAACUUUUGUUCAUGGGAAGAGCUACGCGAGAACAUCUUGUCUACACGCCACUCGGGAAGACUUAUUUUAUGCUGAGCUGUCAUGCACGUGGCCAUCAGAACCUGGAAGAGGAGUAGCUGUUGGAUUCCUCGUUCCCUCCAUGGUCCAGGAGCCCCUGCAAGACCGUCUCCAUCGUGAUCAUCAGAUACCAGCCCUCUGUAACGCGCUUUCCAUGAGGCUAGGCUUACACGUGGGGACCAGAUGUGGCCGUCCAAAAAGAUCAGGAAGAAAAGUCAAAGUUGGUUUUUUGUUUUUUUUUUUUUCCCUGAGCGGAAGUUCUUGUGAAAUGCAGAGUCGGAAACAUGGGAGCGACCUUCUUGAAGCGGACCAUUUAGUUUCAGUCUCAACACCAGAGAGCAAACGGCAAGCAGAAACACCAAAUCAUACAUCAGGAGCCGCUGCACGAAGCAAGAGAGAGGAGCGGUCCUGGUCGCUGAAGCCCAGCACCCCGUGGCAGAGGGAGCGCUCGACGUAUGGAGAGGUUUAGUAAGGUCUCUCCUCACCGCGUACCCUCCAGCUGUACAGCAAGACGUGGGACCUCCAUUGUUGAGCUUGAGCCAUUUGGAUGCUUUCUCUGCUGCCUUCAGGGCUGAAGUUCGGGUGCUUCUGAGCUUUGGGCUUUCUUUUCAUACGUGCUACGGUGUUGUCUGAGUUGCUUCGUGAAGACUUCCUGCUCGAUGGAGUCUGGAGAUCAUCUGCUGGACUAAUGGGAAAGUAAACCAGAAAAUGCUUCAGGUUAUCUCCUUCCCCCACCGCCUCCCUGCAAAAAACCAGCUCUAGAGGAUGACUUUGCGGAGGACCGUAAAGAUCUGUGGUCCUGGUGGGGCUUGGUGAGAGGCAGCAUCUCUUGAGAAGCCGGUGAGGAGCAUCGCCCCGGGCAAAGGGCGGACGGGACGCGUGGGAUGGAGAUGCCACCCUUCUGCACCAGGCACCCAGUGAAAAUCGUGAUGGAUCAUGGUAAGAAACGGGGGUUUUCCCAUCAGUGGAAGGUGUCUUUGUCUUUCCUUCUUGGAUUCC
Grus americana (Whooping crane) is the source of this 3782-nucleotide RNA transcript. RefSeq lists it as uncharacterized. NCBI's taxonomy places the organism in Eukaryota, Metazoa, Chordata, Aves, Gruiformes, Gruidae. The record is from RefSeq and is a predicted model, not a curated record. The transcript has 8 exons.